UUUGAUUCUCUGUACCUGCCAUGUU
Molecule: non-coding RNA, 25 nt
Filed under: Mus musculus (house mouse)
Lineage: Eukaryota; Metazoa; Chordata; Mammalia; Rodentia; Muridae
Source: RNAcentral